Gopherus flavomarginatus (Mexican gopher tortoise) is the source of this 1249-nucleotide long non-coding RNA. RefSeq lists it as uncharacterized. NCBI's taxonomy places the organism in Eukaryota, Metazoa, Chordata, Testudines, Testudinidae. The record is from RefSeq and is a predicted model, not a curated record. The transcript is spliced from 3 exons.
UUUAUGAUAAUUGUUCUUUAUACACAGCUUGACCUCAUUGUUUAAAUGUCCAGUUGUGUAAGUAACUAUAAUUUCUAAACAAAGUGUGUAACAGAACACUUGACCAAUUGUAUGGUACAACUGAUUUAUGUAUUUGCAUUACCUAUAGGAUAAAAUGUCAGUUACUUCAAACUAUGCUAACAUACAGUAUUGUUAAAAAUCAUAAUUGUUCAUACUGUUAAAUGUAUGGAUUGCUGUAUACUCACCCUAACAGUUAAUUUAACUUCUGUUAAUGUGAAAAAAAAAUAGACUUCAAAAUAGUGAAACCUGUAAUUUUGUGUUGCUUGUUGCUGUUGAAAUUAUAGAUGUAAUUGUAAUAUUUUGAAACAGUGCUGUUUAACGUCAAGGAUGAUCACAGUCUGUAAAUUAUUUUAAUCCUUAAAACGUGCUGUGUUCUUUUGUGCUGAGGGCUGAAUUCAAUUUUUUUUAGCAGUUUGAUGCAGGUGGGGCUUUUUAACUUAAGCAAUCUCUUCACUGGGUCCAAAGCCUGCAAGCAAAAUAUAAUAUAUGAAGAAAGCAAUAAAUUGAGGGUAACAUAGUCACCCUUUGAGGCCAGUUGGAGAUGGUAUGCAGACCUUUUGGAGAGCGUACAACAAGCCUUAUCUGAGCAGAUGGAACAUCACAGUUUGAAGGAGCAUCUAGUCAAAAUUAUAAGUAUCCUAAAGAACUCUCUCCACUAGUUUUGAUAAACUCAUUCAGUAAUGAUGUAACUCUUUUGUAGUGCAGGGAUUAACAACUUCCUCUAUACAGAAAGGUGAGAUGCUAGAUUUUAUUUUCCUGCAGCAGCUUUGGGGGGGGGGAGGGAAAUACCUUAUUUUUAAUAGGACUUAUUAAAAUGCUGUUCACAGUUUUCAUUAUUUCCAAUUAGAAAGAGCUUGCUUUUCCAAUAUCUGAGUUGGAGAGUAAUUAGUAUGUAAUUAAAAAAAAGUUUCAAAGAAGAAACUAACACAAAAUAUGAUGUGAUAGGUGUCCCUAUCACAAAGAUAUGAAGUGUUGAUUGUAUACUGUCAUCAAGUAAUAUUAUGGGUAUUAGUUGGAUAGAUUCUUUAUUCUUAUUUUUAGAAGUUGCAUUUUGUAUUCUUCAAUUUAUUAUUCUAUCAAAGAAUAUUACUUUGAAAUGCACCUAGCAAGUUGAGCAUGGAGCAUUGAGUCAGUAAGUGUAAAAGUAAGAUUCUUUUUAAGGAAGCAAAAAUAAAAUUCUCUUAAUGCU